Molecule: long non-coding RNA, 1004 nt
Filed under: Homo sapiens (human)
Lineage: Eukaryota; Metazoa; Chordata; Mammalia; Primates; Hominidae
Description: long non-coding RNA NONHSAT173741.1
Source: RNAcentral
CGCUCAGAAAAAUGAAGCCGACCCGGCCCUGCCCCGAGGGACGCUCCAAGAGGGCGGAGGUGCAGGGAGGGCCCCGCCACAAUUCGCGGUAACGCAAGCCAGGCUCGGGCGGAAGGGCGGCCGGAGCCGAUCAAAGGCUGGCUCCGGGCAGGGGCAGCGAGGGAGCGAGGGGGAGCUCUCCGCAGGCCGGUGUCCCGGAGGAGGCAUAAUUGGAGCAGGGCUUCCAAGGUCACGGAGAGACGCCGGGCAAGACCUCUUAAGGAUCCUCUUCCGGGCUUGAAAGGCAGGCGUCCUCCCGAACCGCGCGACCCAGCCAAGAAGAGCCGGGGCGGGGCCGGGGCCGGGGCCGGGGGCCGACUCGGGAAUCUUCGGCCGAGGCUCGGCAAUCCCCCCAUCCUCCGUCCGGGGCCUCCAGCCCGGGGCCGAUCCGGAAACAGCCGAGCGGAUCCGGAAACAGCCGAGAGGACCCGGAAGCGGUGCGCUCCGUCACCAGGGAGUGCGGGAAUCCGCCGUUUGCGCUGAGGCAAUGGCGGCAGCUGCGCCGGUGGCCGCGGACGACGAUGAGCGGCGGCGGCGGCCGGGGGCUGCACUGGAGGACUCCCGGUCCCAGGAAGGGGCAAAUGGUGAGGCCGAGUCAGGUGAGCUCAGCCGGCUUCGGGCUGAGCUGGCAGGCGCCCUGGCAGAAAUGGAAACCAUGAAGGCUGUGGCAGAGGUGAGCGAGAGCACGAAGGCCGAGGCUGUGGCUGCGGUGCAGCGGCAGUGCCAAGAGGAGGUGGCCUCGCUGCAGGCCAUCCUGAAAGACUCCAUCAGCAGCUAUGAAGCCCAGAUCACCGCCCUGAAGCAGGAGCGACAGCAGCAGCAGCAGGACUGUGAGGAGAAGGAGCGGGAGCUGGGCCGCCUGAAGCAGCUGCUGUCCCGGGCCUACCCCCUGGACUCCCUGGAGAAGCAGAUGGAAAAGGCCCACGAGGACUCGGAGAAGCUGCGGGAGAUCGUACUGCCCAUGG